UGUUAUUUUGUUUUAUUAAAUUUUCUAAAUAAAAUUAUUUUAGUUUCUUCAAUAUAGUUUUUUAGUUUCUCCAAUAUAGCCUUUAGUUUCCCCUAUAUAGGCUUGAGCUCUCAGGGGAUUUUCACAUGUCCAGAGGAUCCAAGUGAAAAAUGUAUCUCACUUCCUUGCUCUGAAGUCAAGAGACUUAUUUACUUCCUACACUCUGUGUGUAAAACCUUUCUUCCUACGCAUCCUCCAGUCUUUCCAUCUUGGUGAUGGUUUUAUUUUGCCCUGAUCAGAUUUAGAUUACAAACCCCUGCUAGGAUACAUCACUGAUUUAGUACCCAUUCAGGAAAAUAUUCUGGAGUCCUAUGCUAUGUAAGCACCUAGGAGGUGACACAUCAAUGCCUAUUGGUGGUUUUUAAGAUAAAUAUACCACUCUCACACAAAGAGCACCAAUGCAUUCUCACACUCGGAUGGGCAUCUUCACCGCAACCACUCUUCUGUUUAGGAGAGGCAUCAUACAUUUAUGAAGAUCAUCACAUAUUUAUACAUCUUUUACCUUGCUUAUAUGGAUAAGGUAAGUUUUCCUACGUCCCACAUUGGGGAAAAGAAAGAAAUCUCAUUACAUAAAGUAAAGAAGUCAUAUUAUAUGAAAAAUUUAACAUGCCAUCAGAAAUGAGAUAUUGAUAGGCUUUUAGGUGCCAUCUUGUCUGCAAUUCUUCUUAGGUUCAACAUUGAUUUCUAUAGCCUUUUCUAGUAGACAAUGAAUUUUAAAUUGUGCCAAUAGUAGUUGGCAAAGUUUUAUCGAGUGAUUGGAUGCUUUCAUAUUUUUUACUUGAACUCCCACCAUGCUUUUCUCAAAGUUAUAUUUUUGUUCCCUAGUUAUAAAACCAAAAGAUCUAGUCGUCAAAAUUUUUGUUUUAGUUGUUGUUGUUUUGGGGAUGUUGUAUCAUUUUCAUAAUCUUGGCAUUUCCCCUCUAUUGAGGAUAUGGUAGGAGAGCUCCGUAACCUUGUAAAAGUUAAGGAAAUUGCAAUUAAAUAAUCCUUUAUGGCAUAUUUCAGGCUGUCCCAUGUUCCUCAGAGAAUCCAGGUCUAAGAUAAGGGUUUGAUUUCAAAAUUAUUAAUGUUCCCUAGCAUCAUAAAACAUUAAAACUAGAAGUGAUCAGAAAGAUCAUCUUAUCCCUAUUACCUUGUUUUAUCUGAAAGAAAACAGUUUCAAAAUGACAGAGUCUAGCCCAAAGUCACAAUGUCUGUUAGCAACUGAAGAUGGACAGAAACCUAGACCUCCUGAUCUCACAUAACCUUCUGCAGCUAAUUGGCUAUGGAAUCUUUCAUAUGUCAUAGUAGCUAUGGUGCAACAAUACAUCAUCUACCUUGAUUAAUGACUGUGAUGAAAGGCUUGCUUAACACAAUGGAAAUAAAUGCAGCAAGCAGAUGUAUUAAAUUUUAAAAGCUGUAAUGUUUAUCUGUGGUCUAUAAAGUGCAACCAUGGUCUUUUUAAUCUGCUUAUGUUAGUUACCUGGUCAGUUUGGUUUGGCCAUGAAGGAAGAAAAAAAAAAUAACUCAAAGAUGAAUAAUUAUGUUGGAAAAGCAUAUAGUUACAAAGAAAAAAGUCACCUAUAUGUCAGAGAAAAAUGUGUCUAUGUUGUAGGCAGUAUAUAAAAUGGAUGUGGAUGAGAUAACUAAGGGAUUGUGUAUAGAGAAAACUGAGAAUUGAGAUUACACCUGGACAAUUUAUGAUUCAACGUUUUGUGGUUGGGAAAAGAAGAAAAAGCUAGCAAAAGAGAAUCAGAAGUAGGAAGAGGAAAACUAGGAGGGUGUGAUAUUUCAAUGCAAUACUAUACUUCGGGGGCUUUUCUUGCUGUACAUAAUAAAAAUGGAUACCUCUCUCUCUC
Molecule: long non-coding RNA, 1877 nt
Organism: Felis catus (domestic cat)
Lineage: Eukaryota; Metazoa; Chordata; Mammalia; Carnivora; Felidae
Exons: 2
Source: RefSeq, a predicted model, not a curated record